UGGGGAAUCUUCCGCAAUGGACGAAAGUCUGACGGAGCAACGCCGCGUGAGUGAUGACGGUCUUCGGAUUGUAAAGCUCUGUUAAUCGGGACGAAUGGUUUGUGUGCAAAUAGUGCAUAGACAUGACGGUACCGGAAUAGAAAGCCACGGCUAACUACGUGCCAGCAGCCGCGGUAAUACGUAGGUGGCAAGCGUUGUCCGGAAUUAUUGGGCGUAAAGCGAGCGCAGGCGGUCAAUUAAGUCUGAUGUGAAAGCCCCCGGCUCAACCGGGGAGGGUCAUUGGAAACUGGUUGACUUGAGUGCAGAAGAGGAGAGUGGAAUUCCAUGUGUAGCGGUGAAAUGCGUAGAUAUAUGGAGGAACACCAGUGGCGAAGGCGACUCUCUGGUCUGUAACUGACGCUGAGGCUCGAAAGCGUGGGUAGCAAACAGG
This 430-nucleotide ribosomal RNA is filed under the name Bacteroidota bacterium. RNAcentral describes it as "Bacteroidetes bacterium partial 16S ribosomal RNA". It matches the Rfam family "Bacterial small subunit ribosomal RNA", at positions 355 to 776 of the family's 1533-position model. Lineage: Bacteria; Pseudomonadati; Bacteroidota. The record is from RNAcentral.